RNAcentral lists this ribosomal RNA (2657 nucleotides) under Escherichia coli. RNAcentral's name for it is "partial 23S ribosomal RNA". It matches the Rfam family "Bacterial large subunit ribosomal RNA", at positions 296 to 2925 of the family's 2925-position model. Lineage: Bacteria; Pseudomonadati; Pseudomonadota; Gammaproteobacteria; Enterobacterales; Enterobacteriaceae. The record is from RNAcentral.
AGCCCAGAGCCUGAAUCAGUGUGUGUGUUAGUGGAAGCGUCUGGAAAGGCGCGCGAUACAGGGUGACAGCCCCGUACACAAAAAUGCACAUACUGUGAGCUCGAUGAGUAGGGCGGGACACGUGGUAUCCUGUCUGAAUAUGGGGGGACCAUCCUCCAAGGCUAAAUACUCCUGACUGACCGAUAGUGAACCAGUACCGUGAGGGAAAGGCGAAAAGAACCCCGGCGAGGGGAGUGAAAAAGAACCUGAAACCGUGUACGUACAAGCAGUGGGAGCCUCUUUUAUGGGGUGACUGCGUACCUUUUGUAUAAUGGGUCAGCGACUUAUAUUCUGUAGCAAGGUUAACCGAAUAGGGGAGCCGAAGGGAAACCGAGUCUUAACUGGGCGUUAAGUUGCAGGGUAUAGACCCGAAACCCGGUGAUCUAGCCAUGGGCAGGUUGAAGGUUGGGUAACACUAACUGGAGGACCGAACCGACUAAUGUUGAAAAAUUAGCGGAUGACUUGUGGCUGGGGGUGAAAGGCCAAUCAAACCGGGAGAUAGCUGGUUCUCCCCGAAAGCUAUUUAGGUAGCGCCUCGUGAAUUCAUCUCCGGGGGUAGAGCACUGUUUCGGCAAGGGGGUCAUCCCGACUUACCAACCCGAUGCAAACUGCGAAUACCGGAGAAUGUUAUCACGGGAGACACACGGCGGGUGCUAACGUCCGUCGUGAAGAGGGAAACAACCCAGACCGCCAGCUAAGGUCCCAAAGUCAUGGUUAAGUGGGAAACGAUGUGGGAAGGCCCAGACAGCCAGGAUGUUGGCUUAGAAGCAGCCAUCAUUUAAAGAAAGCGUAAUAGCUCACUGGUCGAGUCGGCCUGCGCGGAAGAUGUAACGGGGCUAAACCAUGCACCGAAGCUGCGGCAGCGACACUGUGUGUUGUUGGGUAGGGGAGCGUUCUGUAAGCCUGUGAAGGUGUGCUGUGAGGCAUGCUGGAGGUAUCAGAAGUGCGAAUGCUGACAUAAGUAACGAUAAAGCGGGUGAAAAGCCCGCUCGCCGGAAGACCAAGGGUUCCUGUCCAACGUUAAUCGGGGCAGGGUGAGUCGACCCCUAAGGCGAGGCCGAAAGGCGUAGUCGAUGGGAAACAGGUUAAUAUUCCUGUACUUGGUGUUACUGCGAAGGGGGGACGGAGAAGGCUAUGUUGGCCGGGCGACGGUUGUCCCGGUUUAAGCGUGUAGGCUGGUUUUCCAGGCAAAUCCGGAAAAUCAAGGCUGAGGCGUGAUGACGAGGCACUACGGUGCUGAAGCAACAAAUGCCCUGCUUCCAGGAAAAGCCUCUAAGCAUCAGGUAACAUCAAAUCGUACCCCAAACCGACACAGGUGGUCAGGUAGAGAAUACCAAGGCGCUUGAGAGAACUCGGGUGAAGGAACUAGGCAAAAUGGUGCCGUAACUUCGGGAGAAGGCACGCUGAUAUGUAGGUGAAGUCCCUCGCGGAUGGAGCUGAAAUCAGUCGAAGAUACCAGCUGGCUGCAACUGUUUAUUAAAAACACAGCACUGUGCAAACACGAAAGUGGACGUAUACGGUGUGACGCCUGCCCGGUGCCGGAAGGUUAAUUGAUGGGGUCAGCGCAAGCGAAGCUCUUGAUCGAAGCCCCGGUAAACGGCGGCCGUAACUAUAACGGUCCUAAGGUAGCGAAAUUCCUUGUCGGGUAAGUUCCGACCUGCACGAAUGGCGUAAUGAUGGCCAGGCUGUCUCCACCCGAGACUCAGUGAAAUUGAACUCGCUGUGAAGAUGCAGUGUACCCGCGGCAAGACGGAAAGACCCCGUGAACCUUUACUAUAGCUUGACACUGAACAUUGAGCCUUGAUGUGUAGGAUAGGUGGGAGGCUUUGAAGUGUGGACGCCAGUCUGCAUGGAGCCGACCUUGAAAUACCACCCUUUAAUGUUUGAUGUUCUAACGUGGACCCGUGAUCCGGGUUGCGGACAGUGUCUGGUGGGUAGUUUGACUGGGGCGGUCUCCUCCUAAAGAGUAACGGAGGAGCACGAAGGUUGGCUAAUCCUGGUCGGACAUCAGGAGGUUAGUGCAAUGGCAUAAGCCAGCUUGACUGCGAGCGUGACGGCGCGAGCAGGUGCGAAAGCAGGUCAUAGUGAUCCGGUGGUUCUGAAUGGAAGGGCCAUCGCUCAACGGAUAAAAGGUACUCCGGGGAUAACAGGCUGAUACCGCCCAAGAGUUCAUAUCGACGGCGGUGUUUGGCACCUCGAUGUCGGCUCAUCACAUCCUGGGGCUGAAGUAGGUCCCAAGGGUAUGGCUGUUCGCCAUUUAAAGUGGUACGCGAGCUGGGUUUAGAACGUCGUGAGACAGUUCGGUCCCUAUCUGCCGUGGGCGCUGGAGAACUGAGGGGGGCUGCUCCUAGUACGAGAGGACCGGAGUGGACGCAUCACUGGUGUUCGGGUUGUCAUGCCAAUGGCACUGCCCGGUAGCUAAAUGCGGAAGAGAUAAGUGCUGAAAGCAUCUAAGCACGAAACUUGCCCCGAGAUGAGUUCUCCCUGACCCUUUAAGGGUCCUGAAGGAACGUUGAAGACGACGACGUUGAUAGGCCGGGUGUGUAAGCGCAGCGAUGCGUUGAGCUAACCGGUACUAAUGAACCGUGAGGCUUAACCUUACAACGCCGAAGGUGUUU